UACGUAGGGUGCGAGCGUUGUCCGGAAUUAUUGGGCGUAAAGAGCUCGUAGGCGGCCUGUCGCGUCGGAUGUGAAAGCCCGGGGCUUAACCCCGGGUCUGCAUUCGAUACGGGCAGGCUAGAGUGUGGUAGGGGAGAUCGGAAUUCCUGGUGUAGCGGUGAAAUGCGCAGAUAUCAGGAGGAACACCGGUAGCGAAGGCGGAUCUCUGGGCCAUUACUGACGCUGAGGAGCGAAAGCGUGGGGAGCGAACAGG
RNAcentral lists this ribosomal RNA (253 nucleotides) under uncultured bacterium. RNAcentral describes it as "partial 16S ribosomal RNA". It matches the Rfam family "Bacterial small subunit ribosomal RNA", at positions 524 to 776 of the family's 1533-position model. The record is from RNAcentral.